Malania oleifera is the source of this 106-nucleotide small nucleolar RNA. Lineage: Eukaryota; Viridiplantae; Streptophyta; Magnoliopsida; Santalales; Ximeniaceae. The record is from RefSeq and is a predicted model, not a curated record.
ACCUGACGAUGUGGCCAUCUACGGAGCAGGUCCUUAAAACGCUCCUAGGUCUCAAAGAAAAGUUCCCCAUCCAUUUGUGCAAAACUUGUGAUUGCCCGCCGCAGCU